GGAUGCUUUUAUUCUGAAAAAGAAGCGUUUGAUGAAAUAGGAGUUUUUACAUCUUGGUGGGAGAUAGGCCGUCCUUGCCCCCCACCCACACCCUUACGUUUAAUUUUUAAGCCCAAGUGAUGAACUUCUAAUUGUAGAAGCAGGUGUACAUUUAGGGUUGAGGUGAGAACAUUUCAGAGGCCAGGUAGGUCCUCUAGGUCUCUGUGAACAUGCACGCACCCCCCUGCCCUAGACACAUCUCUCAUAAGUCUCAAUCUAAGUCAACACUGAAAAUAGAUCUUAAGGCAAGAAUUUUGUCCCUUCUGUAUUCUAAAUGUAAACUAAACUGUAAGUCCAUGUGUAAUUAUUCUGGCCUGGAGGCUGCAGUGCUAUAUACACACUGCGGCACUGUGAACACUUCCCAAGUUUAUUUAGUGCUGAGUGCUAUGCCGUGCAUGUCAGAGCUGAGAAUAAUCCUGUCUGUGGUCUCCACUCCUCUGGGGCAUUCUUAGUGCUCUGUGACUAACAUGCAGGACCUGUCAUGUGAGCCCCAGGAAGGGCUGUUGAAUCAUGCCAAUCUGAGAGGCCAACAACACGUCAAUUAACUGGAAACAUUAACUAGGAGCAGGGUGGGGGAGGGGAGAAACGUGAGUUGGGGAGAGAGAGACACACACACACGGACAGAGACGGGAGAGGAGAGAGAGAUGAAGAGAUAGAGAGGAGGAGAGGGAAGGGAGGAUAGGCAGGAGAGAGCCAAAAAGAUAGAGAGUGAAAGGAAGAGAGAGAUAAGAGAGAAGGAAAGAUGAGAGGGAGGAAGAUGGAGAAAGUAGAAGAGCAGGAAACAACAGUUGGAGAGAGAGAAAGAAGGAGAGAGAGAAAGAGAGACACUGAGCCCUGGGGACAGAGGGAAGGACAGCUGGGCUGGAGGCAGGGGGCCUGGGAGCCUGGUCAAGUCAGUCCAUGAGGCUGCUCUGAGACGUCACUGGGGGCAGGGAGAGAGUUAUCCAGAACUUUAGUACAGUCUUCUUUCUAGAAAACAGUGCUACCAGAAAGGGCUUAUGUCCAGAUCUGAGGUGCACUUACUUGUUCCCGAAGAUCCAAAUCUAAGUUGCUUUUAGAUUCUACUCUGUGCUUCCACGGAGUCUACUCUAACGACCUUGGCCAGGUCUCUGGCCUCCAUCAAGGAACGACCAGAAUUCCUGGGUCUGGCCACAGGUUUUGGCCCCGCCUCAGAGGGUUGGGUGAGGGGGCUUAGCAGGUGUAGGAGAGCUUGCUCUGGGCAGUAGCUGUGGGCCUUACUUCUGUAUUUGCCGCAGUAUCUGAUUUGCCCUGUAGAGCAUUUAUGUCACUAGGUUUUUACAAAAGUUGCUUUUUGACUUAUUGCCUUAGUGACGAGUUGUCAGGUUUUUCUCUGUUUAAGUGGCUACAGCUGAAUAGCUCAGGCCAAACUUAAAGCUCACACUUGAGACUUGACGUGCUCAGCUCCUGCUAAAGAGGCUCCAGGGCAGCGCCUGCCUUUCCGGGAAGCUCCCCUGAGGGUCACCGAGGCUGCAGAGAACACCCGGUGAUGACUGCAUGGAUCUCCUUCAUCUGCUGGGAUUCAAGCUGUGUUGCUGGGUCCUGCCUACCCAUCUGAGGACAUGUCUGCUCAUCACCCAUGUGCAUUCUGUCACAGUGGGACCUGUGUGUGUUCCCUGCUCAUUGUCGUUUCCAUGGUUUUGCUGAUUCUAUGCGAUUCUUCCAGGCCACUCCAAGUUCCACCUCUUCCACGAAGCCCUCCUUGAUUGCUGGGCCCUGGUUGAACUCCUUAUUAGUAACACCCAGGGUUCUCAAAAAGGCAUUCUAGGAAGUCCUGUAAAAUACAUGCUCAUAAAAAUCUCAUAAUUUCCACAAAUUGUUGAGAAUUUAAAACUCGGUUGGGAGUUUGCUGUUUCAGCCUGAGACACCGGGGUCACGUUUCAGUGCCUGCAGUCUUGAGACAGUACCAGGCAUCUGGGAUGAAGCUGAGGAAAGAAGAUGUGGGGGCCCUGCUGGCCUGCUCCUUCUCUCGAAAGACGCUUACCGGCUGCUGGUGUGUCACAGGGCUUUAGGAUUUGGAAAAACAGAGGGAUUUAAAAGAAGAUAGAAUGGUCAGAAUUUCGAGAACUGUGUGCUGAAGUGCCAUCUUUAGGGUGCUCAUAACACGGCCUUACAACAUUAGAGGUGCUGGAAUCAUGGAAGAGGCAUCUGGACUCUGUAAUGUCCUUCCCCCUGGAAAAUCUGCUCCAGAAGUGGGGGAUUGGGAGCUGUCAACAUAUGAGCCAUCUUUUGCUCCGUUCAAGAUGGUAGGGGCAUUCUCAACAUGCCCCUCACUCUGAUUCUGCCUCACUUUUAUUUUAGAAUUUUCCACUGCCUUUUCUGGAAUGUGCUUUUUCAACCCUCAAAAUCUGUAGAGAAGAAAUAAGCAGAAACCGAAAUGGCUUUCUGGUGUUCUCCAUGCUCUCAGCUUACUGGAAAAUCGAGCCGCAGGCUCGAGGCUGGACUUUAAGGCAGAGCACUGCAAUUAUAGUGCUAUGGCCUUGGCUUCCUUUCUCAUCACCCAGGUACAGUCCUGCAGUCCUCAGAGGAUGCCAGUCCCACACAGGGGGAUCCUUCUCCAUAGGAAAACCGAGGAACAAUGCAGGUUCGAGGUGCACAGUGGCUAAGCACACUCAGUCCUCAAGAUCUUUCCUCUCAAAUGCUAAUGCUACCUUCAGAUGGGCUGCUGCCUGCUACCAUUUCAACAUUGAGUCCUUUAAGAUGCCAUCAGAGAGAGGGGAAGCAAGAGGCCAAGAAAAAUGAAAGGAUAAUCCUGAGUUUAUAGAAUUUCAUCACAGUGUGUGAAACUGGUUUUUAACUUCACUAUACUGGCCCUCAGCGGUGGAGUCAACUGGGCACUGAAUAGAAAAAUCUCCCUCCUCCGUGUUGUCCCCAGCCCACCACAUUUCGCCCUAAGCUCUGCCCUGCACCAACACCAGCCUUCUUCUGGAGUUUGGCAGCUGUGGCAACUGCUGGCUGUCUCUCAACCACUUCACAAUAUGUAUCAAUGUAUUCUACAAAUCAUUGUAUUUGCCAAGCAUUCUACUACUACACAGUUCUGAUUCAACUGACGUGUAUCUUAGAGGUCAAUAUAUUUUCUUUUUCCCUUAGCUUGGCUAGGACUCCAUAGGAAACAGCUAUUUGAGUGAUGAUAUAUAGGAGAAGGAUAGUACUGUAUUUAACUGUCUGUUAAUAUCAGAGAAGAUGAAUAUUUUUCACCUCCCUGUACAUAGCUAUGCAUAAGCUUGGUAUUCAUUUAUGAACAAUGUAGCAUUUUCAAAGGCACAACUGAUUUACUUACAUUAAGUCAAUAUAAAUAAAUUAUGUUAGUAGAUUGCGAAUUUUGAAAGUUGUAAUCAACAUCAAAAAUGAAAUGUCUUGGUUGUCCAACUUAAAUUAUAUAAUGCAAUUUCAACACAGUAAAAAAAAAAUCACCUAGCGUAAUAGUGAGAGUUUGAAUCAUUAUUAGUUAGAUUCUUGUUUGUAUUAAUUAAGAAUUUCACAGACAUUGUUUGUAAGUGAAAAAGAUAUUUUAAAUAAGUAUUUAGAACAAUUUUUGUUUUGUGAUCCUUCAUGCUGCCUGUUGAAUGAGUUAAGCAAAAAAGAAUUACAAAUGGUUUAAACAGAAAAGGAUUGGCAAAUAAAUAAACUAGAGUUGUGCUGGAGAAAAGUGCAAAACCCUUGACUCAUUUUAAAGAUAUUUUAAAUAAAAUAUUAGUGAUCAUUUAAAUUAAUAAACAGUUCUAAGUUUAAAAAAAUCAGGAAAACUUUAAUUACAUUGAAAAUUACCAAUGUGUCCUGUGUUCUACCAAAGUUUAGAAAAUUCUAUUUACAAUUAGAUGACCUUGGAGAUUGAGAUUAAAAAGGUGAGUUAGUUCCCAGUCCAUAUUUAACAUUUUUUUUUGUACAGAAUCCCAUUAUUAUUUUCUCCCUUAGAAAAAAUUAGAAGCUAAGUUAUGCUAUGUUUAGGACAGAUAUGACUCUGUUUUGGCAGGUAAUGGAUGUCAGGAAUGAUUUUCUAAUGGCUAGUACAAUGUUUUGGGGUUUUUUAUUUUUUAAUAUUAUUUUGUAAUUGACAAAUAACAAUUGUACAACAGCACAAUGUUUGGUUGUGAUUUCUACUACUGUCAAAUGUUGUCUUCUGGUGACUAGACCUUUCGCUUUUUGACUGUGUUUAAGCUGGAAGCCCUAAAGCCACUGCAGGGUCAAGCGUCCCCAGUGCAGUGAUGGUCAUGGGGCCGUCACUACCCACUGAAAGCUGGGAGAGGACAGCCCUGGCGGGGUCUGCAGUGAUGGUCACAGGGCCGUCACUACCCACUGAAAGCUGGGAGAGGACAGCCCUGGCGGGGUCAACUCCCCCCCGAUGCAGUGAUGGUCACGGGGCCGUCACUACCCACUGAAAGCUGGGGGAAGACAGCCCUGGCGGGGCCAAGGAGCUUGCAGUGUCCCAUCAACCCUCCUGGAGAGAUGCCUGAGACCCGGUUUUACCUAUGAGUCUGGCCUCAGGACAGGAAAGAUGGGGACACGCACAGCUGAGGCAAGAGCCAUGACAGGGCAUCUGCUGUCAGCCACAUCCACCCCAGAGGGAAGCAUGCCCUUACCCCAGAGGUGAGGACACAGAGAUCCAGAGGCGGCGCUGGUGCCCUUCACUGGGGCCACACCACAGGGCCUUUCCUUCCUUUGUCAACCUUGCUCUGUGGGCCAGGGGAGCUCACUCAACCUCACUCUCUUUAAACCCUUCAUGCCAACCCAGAAUCUGGCUCUGCUCAUCCUUGCUACGCUAGAGUGGGCUUUACUGUUACUCAGAGGCUGACAAAAAUACUUGAGAAGAGUCACUUCCAGCACGACAGAAGGAGGAGGCUGACAAAUCAUCUUACCUAAAAGCAACUAUUAUGCCGGACAAAAGUGUCAAAAUAAUCCUUAUGGCACUCCCGAAAAUGGCCAAGUCUCUGGCUCAGCUCUGGCACUGAAGGUGGUCAGCCCAGACAAGGCAGGCACUGCAGAGGGGCUCACUGAUUCUGAGUGUGGUCGGUGAAAGUGGUGGUCCUGGGGGCAAGCAGACAGGGAAGGUGGCAGCUCCACCACCUGGGGCCGUGGUCAGUCACAUUCAGGCAAGCAGCAGGCUGACAGGUCCUUCCUUCCUGCCUGCCUUCCUUCCUUCCUUUUUUCCUUCCUUCCUUUUUUCCUUCCUUCCUUUUUUCCCUCCUUCCUUCCUUCCUUCCUCCUUUCUUCCUUCCUCCCUCCCUUUACAUUACAG
Molecule: long non-coding RNA, 5293 nt
Filed under: Homo sapiens (human)
Lineage: Eukaryota; Metazoa; Chordata; Mammalia; Primates; Hominidae
Description: HSALNT0099403
Source: RNAcentral